Molecule: long non-coding RNA, 291 nt
Filed under: Solanum tuberosum (potato)
Lineage: Eukaryota; Viridiplantae; Streptophyta; Magnoliopsida; Solanales; Solanaceae
Description: long non-coding RNA (STUB_LNC003482)
Source: RNAcentral
AAACAUGCGGAAAAUUAGUAGAAGCCUAUAGACAUGCUAUCUAAGUGAUUAACAUGCUAGUUGAUUAAUUACAUGCGACAAUAACCAAACAGGGUAGAUUUUAAAUAACAUGCUAGCAAUUAGUUGAUUACUUUUAAAAUAGGUGGAAAAGCAGUAGUUUAAAUGCAGGAAAUAUUAACAGUGAGCAGAAAACAAUCAUAAACUUGCUAAAAGCCUAUAGACAUGCAGUCUUAAGUGAUUGAUAUGCUGAAAUUUUAUUAGCAAAUUAAUUAGAAUUUGAUUUAUUAAAUG